AGAGUUUGAUCCUGGCUCAAGAUGAACGCUAGCGACAGGCUUAACACAUGCAAGUCGAGGGGCAGCAGGAGAGGAGCAAUAUCUCAUCUGCCGGCGACCGCACCGGUGAGUAGCAAGUAUGCAGCAUCCCGCCUUCAGCAGGAUAAGAGGCAGAAAUUCCGUCUUAUAAUGCAUAAUACGUUAUGGGAACAUCUUCUUGAGAUCAAAGAGUGUUCUGACUAGGAUAGGCCUGUGUGGCACAUAGUUAGUUGGCGCGUGUAUAGGACCCCCACGAGGAGGAGACGUAGGGGUUUUGAGAGGAAGAUUCCCCACACUGGGAUUGUGACACGCACCAGAGUCUCAUGGGAGGCACACACAGAGGAAUAUUGGUCUAUGGGGGGGAGCCUGUGCCCCACAAGUGUCGUGAGGGAGGAGAGGUCCUUAGGAGGGUGAACCUCUUUUUUCUGGGAGCAAGGAGUGCCAUGAGGGGCCGGGCGAGAGUACCUGAAGAAAAAGCAUCGGCUAACUCCGUGCCAGCAGCCGCGGUAAUACGGAGGAUGCGAGCGUUAUCCGGAUUUAUUGGGUUUAAAGGGUGCGCAGGCGGACGGGAAAGUCAGCGGUAAAAUUGCGGAGCUCAACUCCUUCCAGCCGUUGAAACUGUGGUUCUAGAGUGGGCGAGAGGUAUGCGGAAUGCGUGGUGUAGCGGUGAAAUGCAUAGAUAUCACGCAGAACUCCGAUUGCGAAGGCAGCAUACCGGCGCCCAACUGACGCUCAGGCACGAAAACGUGGGGAUCCAACAGGAUUAGAUACCCUGGUAGUCCACGCAGUAAACGAUGAAUGCUACUUGUUCGGCUCGAAUGAGGGCUGAGUGAUACAGCGAAAGCGUUAAGUAUUCCACCUGGGGAGUACGCCGGCAACGGUGAAACUCAAAGGAAUUGACGGGGGCCCGCACAAGCGGAGGAGCAUGUGGUUUAAUUCGAUGAUACGCGAGGAACCUUACCCGGGCUCAAACGACAGAGGGAUACUUUUGAAAGGAGGUAGCUCUUCGGAGCGUCAGUCGAGGUGCUGCAUGGUUGUCGUCAGCUCGUGCCGUGAGGUGUCGGCUUAAGUGCCAUAACGAGCGCAACCCCCAUCUACAGUUGCCAUCGAGUGGAGUCGGGCACUCUGUAGAGACUGCCGGCGCAAGCAGCGAGGAAGGCGGGGAUGACGUCAAAUCAGCACGGCCCUUACGUCCGGGGCGACACACGUGUUACAAUGGCGGGGACAGCGGGAAGCCACCUGGCGACAGGGAGCGGAACCCGAAACCCCGUCUCAGUUCGGAUUGGAGUCUGCAACUCGACUCCAUGAAGCUGGAUUCGCUAGUAAUCGCGCAUCAGCCACGGCGCGGUGAAUACGUUCCCGGGCCUUGCACACACCGCCCGUCA
This 1403-nucleotide ribosomal RNA is filed under the name uncultured bacterium. RNAcentral's name for it is "16S ribosomal RNA". It matches the Rfam family "Bacterial small subunit ribosomal RNA". The record is from RNAcentral.